UGCGCAAAUGCAACACGCCUU
RNAcentral lists this non-coding RNA (21 nucleotides) under Caenorhabditis elegans. The record is from RNAcentral. Lineage: Eukaryota; Metazoa; Nematoda; Chromadorea; Rhabditida; Rhabditidae.